CCUACGGGAGGCAGCAGUGGGGAAUAUUGGUCAAUGGGCGCAAGCCUGAACCAGCCACGCCGCGUGAGUGAUGAAGGCCUUCGGGUUGUAAAGCUCUGUGGGGAGGGAAGAAAACGGCCAGUAAGAAACGACUGGUCCUUGACGGUACCUCCUUAGCAAGCACCGGCUAACUCUGUGCCAGCAGCCGCGGUAAUACAGAGGGUGCGAACGUUGCUCGGAAUUACUGGGCGUAAAGCGCGUGUAGGCGGGACCGUAAGUCAGAUGUGAAAUCCCCGAGCUCAACUCGGGAACUGCAUCUGAAACUGCGGACCUCGAGUACUGGAGAGGGCGGCGGAAUUCCUGGUGUAGAGGUGAAAUUCGUAGAUAUCAGGAGGAACACCGGUGGCGAAGGCGGCCGCCUGGACAGUCACUGACGCUGAGACGCGAAAGCGUGGGGAGCA
This 440-nucleotide ribosomal RNA is filed under the name uncultured bacterium. RNAcentral's name for it is "bacterial SSU rRNA". It matches the Rfam family "Bacterial small subunit ribosomal RNA", at positions 338 to 770 of the family's 1533-position model. The record is from RNAcentral.